GGGGAAGGGUAGCUUGCUACCUGACCUAGCGGCGGACGGGUGAGUAAUGCUUAGGAAUCUGCCUAUUAGUGGGGGACAACAUUCCGAAAGGAAUGCUAAUACCGCAUACGCCCUACGGGGGAAAGCAGGGGAUCUUCGGACCUUGCGCUAAUAGAUGAGCCUAAGUCAGAUUAGCUAGUUGGUGGGGGUAAAGGCCUACCAAGGCGACGAUCUGUAGCGGGUCUGAGAGGAUGAUCCGCCACACUGGGACUGAGACACGGCCCAGACUCCUACGGGAGGCAGCAGUGGGGAAUAUUGGACAAUGGGCGAAAGCCUGAUCCAGCCAUGCCGCGUGUGUGAAGAAGGCCUUUUGGUUGUAAAGCACUUUAAGCGAGGAGGAGGCUACUGAGAUUAAUACUCUUGGAUAGUGGACCGUUACUCGCAGAAUAAGCACCGGCUAACUCUUGUGCCAGCAGCCGCGGUAAUACAGAGGGUGCGAGCGUUAAUCGGAUUUACUGGGC
RNAcentral lists this ribosomal RNA (500 nucleotides) under uncultured bacterium. RNAcentral describes it as "bacterial SSU rRNA". It matches the Rfam family "Bacterial small subunit ribosomal RNA", at positions 68 to 559 of the family's 1533-position model. The record is from RNAcentral.